This 543-nucleotide ribosomal RNA is filed under the name uncultured bacterium. RNAcentral describes it as "bacterial SSU rRNA". It matches the Rfam family "Bacterial small subunit ribosomal RNA", at positions 8 to 596 of the family's 1533-position model. The record is from RNAcentral.
AGAGUUUGAUCCUGGCUCAGGAUGAACGCUGGCGGUCUGCUUAACACAUGCAAGUCGAACGCAACCUUCGGGUUGAGUGGCGGACGGGUGAGUAACGCGUGAGAAUCUGCCUUAGGGUCGGGGACAACCACUGGAAACGGUGGCUAAUACCGGAUAAGCCGAUUGGUGAAAGAUUUAUUGCCCGAAGAGGAGCUCGCGUCUGAUUAGCUAGUUGGUGAGGUAAGAGCUCACCAAGGCAGCGAUCAGUAGCUGGUCUGAGAGGACGAUCAGCCACACUGGGACUGAGACACGGCCCAGACUCCUACGGGAGGCAGCAGUGGAGAAUUUUCCGCAAUGGGCGAAAGCCUGACGGAGCAAGACCGCGUGAGGGAGGAAGGCUCUUGGGUUGUAAACCUCUUUUCUCAGGGAAGAAGCUCUGACGGUACCUGAGGAAUCAGCCUCGGCUAACUCCGUGCCAGCAGCCGCGGUAAUACGGAGGAGGCAAGCGUUAUCCGGAAUUAUUGGGCGUAAAGCGUCCGCAGGUGGCGAUUCAAGUCUGCUGUC